UGGGGCUGAAAUGCACAUCUCCAGGCAUGGU
Molecule: non-coding RNA, 31 nt
Filed under: Homo sapiens (human)
Lineage: Eukaryota; Metazoa; Chordata; Mammalia; Primates; Hominidae
Source: RNAcentral